AACAGGAUUCCCCUAGUAACUGCGAGUGAAGCGGGAAGAGCUCAAAUUUAAAAUCUGGCGUGCCUUUGGUCGUCCGAGUUGUAGUCUGGAGAAGCGUUUUCCGUGUUGGACCGUGUAUAAGUCUCUUGGAACAGGGCGUCAUAGAGGGUGAGAAUCCCGUCUUUGACACGGACUACCAAUGCUUUGUGAUGCGCUCUCAAAGAGUCGAGUUGUUUGGGAAUGCAGCUCAAAAUGGGUGGUAAAUUCCAUCUAAAGCUAAAUAUAGGCGAGAGACCGAUAGCGAACAAGUACCGUGAGGGAAAGAUGAAAAGCACUUUGGAAAGAGAGUUAAACAGUACGUGAAAUUGCUGAAAGGGAAACGCUUGAAGUCAGUCGCGUCUGCCAGGACUCAGCCUUGCUUUUGCUUGGUGCACUUUCUGGUCGGAUGGCCAACAUCAAUUUUGACCGUUGGAGAAAGGCUUUGGGAAUGUGGCACCUUCGGGUGUGUUAUAGCCCUCGGUCGUAUACGACGGUUGGGAUUGAGGAUCGCAGCACGCCUUUAUGGCCGGGGUUCGCCCACGUACGUGCUUAGGAUGUUGGCAUAAUGGCUUUAAGCGACCC
This 600-nucleotide ribosomal RNA is filed under the name uncultured Tomentella. Its description in RNAcentral is "eukaryotic LSU rRNA". It matches the Rfam family "Eukaryotic large subunit ribosomal RNA", at positions 68 to 650 of the family's 3401-position model. Lineage: Eukaryota; Fungi; Basidiomycota; Agaricomycetes; Thelephorales; Thelephoraceae. The record is from RNAcentral.